Molecule: long non-coding RNA, 493 nt
Filed under: Anas platyrhynchos platyrhynchos (common mallard)
Lineage: Eukaryota; Metazoa; Chordata; Aves; Anseriformes; Anatidae
Description: lncRNA (ENSAPLG00000023377.1)
Source: RNAcentral
AUGCAGAACGCCUGGGGAAAUUUUUCAUCCCAUUUCAGCUCUAGAUCAUGUCCCGGCAUCUCGGACGGAGCCAGCGAGUUUACUGCAAAAAUGUUCACGACUGCAACGGGAAAAAAACAAAAAGCGACAGCAUUGGAGCAGGCCAGGGAGGAACGUGUUGGGGUCUUCCUCCUGGAAAUGGAUGCUGUGAGAAACAUUGCAGAGAAGCAGUCAGCCUUCAGAAGACCGGACUUUGCUUUGUUAAUCCUACCGAUGACCGAAAGACGAAGACCGUCAGCUACCCUGGGACACCUGGAGCAGCAAGUCGGGAAGAGCUGAGGACAUAAACCUUUGCAGUAGAUCACAUUCUUCCCGUUUUUUCACGAUUUAUUGGAGUAAAGGGGAUUGGAAGUUAUUGAGGGCAUACUGGGGAGCUCGAUACUCCCACGUGUGCUUCUCCAGCAACCAGCUGAAUGCAAAGCCUUGAAUAAACGCGUAUUUUAACACCUACCCA